GCGCACCAGUCGCGAAUAGUCUACAAUGGACGAAAGUCUGAUAGUGCGACGCCGUGUGUGCGAUUAAUUCCUUCGGGAUGUAAAGCACUUUUCUAUGAGAUAAAAGCUCUUUAGGUUAAUAGCUUAUUGAGACGGAUAUUAUUAUAGGAAUAAGCUCCGGCUAACUCCGUGCCAGCAGCCGCGGUAAUACGGAAGGAGCGAGCGUUGUCCGGAUUUACUAGGCGUAAAGGGCUAGUAGGCGACUAAUUAAGUUAUAUGUUAAAUCCCGCGGCUCAACUGUGGUCCUGCAUGUAAUACUGGUUAGAUAGAGUACUGUAGAGGAAGGCAGAAUUCCUGGAGUAGCGGUGGAAUGCGCAGAUAUCAGGAAGAAUACCAAAAGCGAAGGCAGCCUUCUGGGCAGUUACUGACGCUGAAUAGCGAAGGUGUGGGUAGCGAACAGGAUUAGAUACCCGCGUAGU
RNAcentral lists this ribosomal RNA (458 nucleotides) under uncultured microorganism. RNAcentral's name for it is "bacterial SSU rRNA". It matches the Rfam family "Bacterial small subunit ribosomal RNA", at positions 346 to 794 of the family's 1533-position model. The record is from RNAcentral.